This 404-nucleotide ribosomal RNA is filed under the name Verrucomicrobiota bacterium. RNAcentral's name for it is "Verrucomicrobia bacterium partial 16S ribosomal RNA". It matches the Rfam family "Bacterial small subunit ribosomal RNA", at positions 355 to 777 of the family's 1533-position model. The record is from RNAcentral. Lineage: Bacteria; Pseudomonadati; Verrucomicrobiota.
UGGGGAAUAUUGCACAAUGGGGGAAACCCUGAUGCAGCGACGCCGCGUGAGCGAAGAAGGUUUUCGAAUCGUAAAGCUCUGUCCUAUGAGAAGAUAAUGACGGUAUCAUAGGAGGAAGCCCCGGCUAAAUACGUGCCAGCAGCCGCGGUAAUACGUAUGGGGCGAGCGUUGUCCGGAAUUAUUGGGCGUAAAGGGUACGUAGGCGGUCUAUUAAGUCAGGUGUGAAAGCGUGAGGCUUAACCUCAUUAAGCACUUGAAACUGAUAGACUUGAGUGAAGGAGAGGAAAGUGGAAUUCCUAGUGUAGCGGUGAAAUGCGUAGAUAUUAGGAGGAAUACCGGUGGCGAAGGCGACUUUCUGGACUUUUACUGACGCUCAGGUACGAAAGCGUGGGGAGCAAACAGGA